Molecule: ribosomal RNA, 99 nt
Filed under: Candidatus Nitrosopumilus sp.
Lineage: Archaea; Thermoproteati; Nitrososphaerota; Nitrososphaeria; Nitrosopumilales; Nitrosopumilaceae
Description: Nitrosopumilus sp. partial 16S ribosomal RNA
Rfam family: Archaeal small subunit ribosomal RNA
Source: RNAcentral
AAUCCGGUUGAUCCUGCCGGACCUGACUGCUAUCGGAUUGAUACUAAGCCAUGCGAGUCAUUGUAGCAAUACAAGGCAGACGGCUCAGUAACGCGUAGU